AGUGAACGCUGGCGGUAGGCCUAACACAUGCAAGUCGAACGGCAGCACAGUAAGAGCUUGCUCUUACGGGUGGCGAGUGGCGGACGGGUGAGGAAUACAUCGGAAUCUACUUUUUCGUGGGGGAUAACGUAGGGAAACUUACGCUAAUACCGCAUAUGACCUACGGGUGAAAGCAGGGGAUCUUCGGACCUUGCGCGAUUGAAUGAGCCGAUGUCGGAUUAGCUAGUUGGCGGGGUAAAGGCCCACCAAGGCGACGAUCCGUAGCUGGUCUGAGAGGAUGAUCAGCCACACUGGAACUGAGACACGGUCCAGACUCCUACGGGAGACAGCAGUGGGGAAUAUUGGACAAUGGGCGCAAGCCUGAUCCAGCCAUACCGCGUGGGUGAAGAAGGCCUUCGGGUUGUAAAGCCCUUUUGUUGGGAAAGAAAAGCAGCAGGUUAAUACCCCGCUGUUCUGACGGUACCCAAAGAAUAAGCACCGGCUAACUUCGUG
Molecule: ribosomal RNA, 492 nt
Filed under: uncultured bacterium
Lineage: Bacteria
Description: partial 16S ribosomal RNA
Rfam family: Bacterial small subunit ribosomal RNA
Source: RNAcentral